CCUACCUCUAACACAACUCCUACCUACACUACAUGACCAAAACUAUGUGGACAUCUGCCAGGCAGUUAUAUAGUUACAUGGUUCUAUAGGAAACCAUAUAGAACUAGGUUAUAUAGGGAAUAGUGAUAGUAACUAGGUUAUAUAGGGAAUAGUGAUAGUAACUAGGUUAUAUAGGGAAUAGUGAUAGUAACUAGGUUAUAUAGUGAGAGUAACUAGGUUAUAUAGGGAAAAGUGAGAUUGACUAGGUUAUAUAGGGAAUAGUGAGAGAGGGUCUCUCUCCAGGAACAGGGUUGCAGUUAAAACCUACAGGAGGGUCUCUCUCCAGGAACCGGGUUGGAGUUAAAACCUACAGGAGGGUCUCUCUCCAGGAACAGGGUUGGAGUUAAAACCUACAGGAGGGUCUCUCUCCAG
Molecule: long non-coding RNA, 411 nt
Organism: Oncorhynchus tshawytscha (Chinook salmon)
Lineage: Eukaryota; Metazoa; Chordata; Actinopteri; Salmoniformes; Salmonidae
Source: Ensembl